GGGCAGGUGCCAGAGUGGCCAAUUGGACCUGGCUGUAAACCAGGCGGCGGAAGCCUUCGGCGGUUCGAAUCCGUCCCUGCCCA
Molecule: transfer RNA, 83 nt
Filed under: Chloroflexota bacterium
Lineage: Bacteria; Bacillati; Chloroflexota
Description: tRNA-Tyr
Rfam family: tRNA
About the family: Transfer RNA (tRNA) molecules are approximately 80 nucleotides in length.
Source: RNAcentral